This 41-nucleotide small RNA is filed under the name Vibrio cholerae O1 biovar El Tor str. N16961. The record is from RNAcentral. Lineage: Bacteria; Pseudomonadati; Pseudomonadota; Gammaproteobacteria; Vibrionales; Vibrionaceae.
UCUCUACCCGAUUGAGGAGUGGUUUACGCCACUCCUUUCUC